GGCAAGAUGGCCGAGCGGUCUAUGGCGCUAGCUUCAGGAUUAUCCUGAGGAAACUGCUAGUAUCGAAAGAUGCGUGGGUUCGAAUCCCACUCUUGUCA
Molecule: non-coding RNA, 98 nt
Organism: Glonium stellatum
Lineage: Eukaryota; Fungi; Ascomycota; Dothideomycetes; Gloniales; Gloniaceae
Source: the annotation of a GenBank genome assembly